This 838-nucleotide long non-coding RNA is filed under the name Athene cunicularia (burrowing owl). Its description in RNAcentral is "lncRNA (ENSACUG00000003853.1)". Lineage: Eukaryota; Metazoa; Chordata; Aves; Strigiformes; Strigidae. The record is from RNAcentral.
CCUCAUAGGCAUUUAAUCUGAACUCCAUAAAAUGCCUCUGUUUGUUCUUUAUCCACAGGUAAAACCUGUUAGUUAACGCCGAAACUGAGCUGCUGAAUUCAGGCCCACCUGGGGGACAGUGCUUCACACCAGAGCCCUGAGAGCUCAUGACUCAUCACAUGGAUAUAAAAUCUAACAUACGAGUUCCCAGUCUGAGCUGUAGUUCAUGAAAAUUACCUCCCAAACCAUUAUUCGCUGAAGAUAGAUGUCACACCCAGGACAUGGAUGGUCUAUCCAGCCGUUCAGAAAGGACUGGAAUACCCACGUGGAAGAAUAAAGGCAAGAUGUCGCUGCCUUAAGAGAAAUUAUUGGGAUGCUGACAGAACAAUCUUUGUUAUGUAGGAUUGUUUGUGUCCUGCACAGUAUCUGCAAAGAGGUGAGACUUUUCCGGGAAUGAAACCUUGAUAGUGCUUGAGACUGUAGACAGCUGUAGCUUAAAAAAGCAGUGUUUGCCUUUACCAGAGGGAGGCUAGGCAAAUUAGGAAACUUAUAGUUGUUCAAAUUCGCAGGUUAUGAAAUACUUUAUAGCAUCUCAUCCCAACCUGUUACAGGGCUUGAAAUUGUCUAUUGUAAUUAAUUUAUAAACCUGUAGGGUGAAAGGGCUACUAAUAUGUGAGGGGUAAUCUUUUCCUGAUUAAUUUUAUGGAUUGUGGAGGGAGGGAGAUUGAUUUUUCUGCCGAAUUAAGUAUUGAUUUAAAAGUAGCUUUUUAUGCUACCUAGUUUGGGGUCAUGGGGUACUAUUUCAGUGGAUUUUGUAGAUUGCUUGCUGUGUUUUCCUUUUUCAAUAAAAUCUUUUGGC